This 631-nucleotide ribosomal RNA is filed under the name uncultured bacterium. RNAcentral describes it as "bacterial SSU rRNA". It matches the Rfam family "Bacterial small subunit ribosomal RNA", at positions 97 to 706 of the family's 1533-position model. The record is from RNAcentral.
GGCGAACGGGUGAGUAACGCGUGGGUAAUCUACCCGGUAGUGGGGGAUAACCCUCCGAAAGGAGGGCUAAUACCGCAUAACAUCUUCACCUCAAAAGAGGUAAAGAUUAAAGAUGGCCUCUUUACAUGCUAUCACUUCCGGAUGAGCCCGCGUCCUAUUAGUUAGUUGGUAGGGUAAUGGCCUACCAAGACCGCAAUGGGUAGCCGGUCUGAGAGGAUGUACGGCCACACUGGGACUGAGAUACGGCCCAGACUCCUACGGGAGGCAGCAGUGGGGAAUCUUGCGCAAUGGGGGAAACCCUGACGCAGCGACGCCGCGUGGAUGAUGAAGGCCUUCGGGUUGUAAAGUCCUGUUCUGGGGGACGAAACCUUAAGGGUCUAAUACACCCUUAAGCUGACGGUACCCCAAGAGAAAGCUCCGGCUAAUUAUGUGCCAGCAGCCGCGGUAAUACAUAAGGAGCAAGCGUUGUCCGGAAUUAUUGGGCGUAAAGAGCUCGUAGGCGGUCUUAAAAGUCAGGUGUUAAAUUAGCAGGCUCAACCUGCUAAGGUCAUCUGAAACUCUAAGACUUGAGGAUAGAAGAGGAAAGUGGAAUUCCCGGUGUAGCGGUGAAAUGCGUAGAUAUCGGGAGGAA